RNAcentral lists this unclassified non-coding RNA (182 nucleotides) under soil metagenome. RNAcentral describes it as "partial internal transcribed spacer 1". The record is from RNAcentral.
CCGAGUUUACAACUCCCAAACCCAAUGUGAACGUUACCAAACUGUUGCCUCGGCGGGGUCACGCCCCGGGUGCGUAAAAGCCCCGGAACCAGGCGCCCGCCGGAGGAACCAACCAAACUCUUUCUGUAGUCCCCUCGCGGACGUAUGUCUUACAGCUCUGAGCAAAAAUUCAAAAUGAAUCA